GACGAACGCUGGCGGCGUGCUUAACACAUGCAAGUCGAACGGAAAGGCCCUGCUUGCAGGGUACUCGAGUGGCGAACGGGUGAGUAACACGUGGGUGAUCUGCCCUGCACCUCGGGAUAAGCCUGGGAAACUGGGUCUAAUACCGGAUAGGAGCCAUUUUUAGUGUGAUGGUUGGAAAGUUUUUUCGGUGUAGGAUGAGCUCGCGGCCUAUCAGCUUGUUGGUGGGGUAAUGGCCUACCAAGGCGGCGACGGGUAGCCGGCCUGAGAGGGUGGACGGCCACAUUGGGACUGAGAUACGGCCCAGACUCCUACGGGAGGCAGCAGUGGGGAAUAUUGCACAAUGGGCGCAAGCCUGAUGCAGCGACGCCGCGUGGGGGAUGACGGCCUUCGGGUUGUAAACUCCUUUCGCUAGGGACGAAGCUUUUUGUGACGGUACCUAGAUAAGAAGCACCGGCUAACUACGUG
This 465-nucleotide ribosomal RNA is filed under the name uncultured bacterium. RNAcentral's name for it is "partial 16S ribosomal RNA". It matches the Rfam family "Bacterial small subunit ribosomal RNA", at positions 28 to 507 of the family's 1533-position model. The record is from RNAcentral.